RNAcentral lists this ribosomal RNA (433 nucleotides) under uncultured bacterium. RNAcentral describes it as "partial 16S ribosomal RNA". It matches the Rfam family "Bacterial small subunit ribosomal RNA", at positions 29 to 507 of the family's 1533-position model. The record is from RNAcentral.
AACGAACGCUGGCGGCAUGCCUAACACAUGCAAGUCGAACGAGACCUUCGGGUCUAGUGGCGCACGGGUGCGUAACGCGUGGGAACCUGCCCUUAGGUUCGGAAUACCUCCCCGAAAGGGGUGCUAAUACCGGAUAAUGUCUUCGGACCAAAGAUUUAUCGCCUUUGGAUGGGCCCGCGUUGGAUUAGCUAGUUGGUAGGGUAAAAGCCUACCAAGGCGACGAUCCAUAGCUGGUCGGAGAGGAUGAUCAGCCACACUUGGACUGAGACACGGCCCAGACUCCUACGGGAGGCAGCAGUGGGGAAUAUUGGACAAUGGGCGAAAGCCUGAUCCAGCAAUGCCGCGUGAGUGAUGAAGGCCUUAGGGUUGUAAAGCUCUUUUACCCGGGAUGAUAAUGACAGUACCGGGAGAAUAAGCUCCGGCUAACUCCGUG